ACUAGCCUUGACAUACACACAAGAUUCAUCUUCACUCCUAGAAAAGCCAAAUUCCUUGACCUUUUCAUCAAAGCAAAGAUUCCAUCUGCGAGGUGCUUGCUUCAAUCCAUAAAUGGAUUUCUCAAGCUUACACACUCUAUUAGGGUACUCGUUGCUGACAAAACCCUCUGGCUGACUCAUGUAAACAUCUUCAGCCAACUUUCCAUUAAGGAAAGCGGUUUUGACAUCCAUCUGCCAUAUUUCAUAGUCAUGAAAUGCAGCUAUGGCUAACAGAACCCGAAUAGACUUAAUCUUGGCUACCGGAGAAAAGGUCUCAUCAUAAUCCACUCCAGGAAUUUGAGAGAAGCCCUUUGCAACCAGUCUAGCCUUAUAAGUGUGUACUUUACCAUCCAUGUCGGUCUUCUUCUUGAAGACCCAUUUGCACCCUACUGUCUUACGACCUGGUACAUUUUCAACCAAGUUCCAAACUUGAUUGUCAUACAUGGAUUGUAUCUCGCUAUCCAUAGCCUCUUUCCAUUUAGCAGACUCGGGGCCUGCCAUGGCUUCCUCGUAGCUGUUAGGGUCAUCUUGACUUACUAGUGUCUCAUCACUAAUAAGUGUCUCACCUUCUGCAGUAAUAUGGAAUCCAUAGUAAUGCUCAGGUGCACUCCUAACUCUCGUGGAACGUCUCAGAGGUACAGAUUUGUCAAUUGGCUCAACAGGAGUUUCCUCCUCAAGUUGAGGGCUAGAGUUUGAAGUUCCUUCACCGCUUGAUUCUUGAAUUUCUUCAAGAUCAAUUUGCCUCCCACUGUCUCCUUGGCUUAUAAACUCUCUUUCUCGAAAGACUCCUCUUCUUGCUACAAAGACCACAUUGUCACUAGGUCUGUAGAAGAGGUAACCAAAGGAUCGCUGUGGGUAACCGAUGAAAAUACACCUCUCGCUUCGAGGUUCGAGCUUAUCAUGAGUCUCGCGUCUCACGAAAGCCUCGCAACCCCAAAUCUUGAUGUGGUCUAGUUUAGGUACUUUACCAGUCCACAUCUCGUGAGGAGUUUUGGCAACUUUCUUUGUAGGGACUAGAUUAAGAAUAUGGGCGGCAGUCUCUAAGGCAUACCCCCAGAAUGAGAUUGGUAGCGUAGCUCGACUCAUCAUGGAACGAACCAUAUCUAACAAGGUUCGAUUACGCCUCUCAGCCACACCAUUCAACUGUGGUGUCCUGGGAGGUGUCAAUUGUGAGACUAUCCCACAUUCCCUUAGAUAGUCGAGGAACUCUGAACUAAGAUACUCACCACCACGAUCGGAUCGAAGCAUCUUAAUGUUCCUGCCCAAUUGAUUCUCGACUUCCUGUUUAAAUUCCUUAAACCUCUCGAAAGUCUCUGACUUAUGCUUGAUCAAGUAGACAUAUCCAUAUCUACUAUAAUCAUCAGUAAAAGUCAAAUAAUAACGAUUAGCAUCCCUUGUGGCAUGUUUGAAUGGUCCACACACAUCCGUGUGUAUAAGGUCCAACAAACCUUCACCCCUCUCACACGAACCUGUGAAGGGUGACUUUGUCAUUUUUCCAAGUAAGCAUGAUUCGCAACUAUCAUCUGACUUUAGGUCAAACGACUCCAAGACUCCAUCCUUUUGGAGUUGGCCUAUGCGUUUCUUGCUUAUAUGUCCAAGACGACAAUGCCAUAAAGAUGCUUUAUCCAAGUUAUUAUUAGUAGAAUCAAUACACAAAACAUUAUUUCCCAAGUUAUCUACAACAGAUACAGCUUCAUACACACCAUCACAAGGUAAUGCUUUAAAAUAAAAGACAUUAUUAUAGAAAACAUCUAUAGAACCAACUUCAUUAUUAAAUGAAAAGGUAAACCCUUGUUUGUACAAAGCAUGAAAGGAAAUAAUAUUUCUUGCCAUUCCUGGCGAAUAACAACACUUAUUCAAAUCUAAACUAAACCCACUACUUAGCGAUAAAGUAUAAACUCCAAUCUUGGUAACAGGUAUAGCUUUCCUAUUCCCCAUGAUCAAGUUUAUCCUUCCUUGCUCCACAUCCUCACUUCUUCUUAGUCCCUGCAAGUCACAACAAAUGUGAAUACCACACCCGGUAUCAAGGACCCAAGAAUUAGAAUGGGGUGAGUUAUUAGAAAUGAUAGUGUAAAUACCUGCAUGGUUGGGUUUAACUUUCCCAUCCUUCACAUCUUGCUGGUAUUUUGGGCAGUUCCGCUUCCAAUGAGCUUUUUCAUGGCAAUAGAAGCAUUCAGCCUCUUUUGGGUCAGAAGAAGGAGUAAUGAAACCUUUCUUGGUUCCACUUGAAGAAGAGCCAUCAAGGGUCCGAACCUUGGUACCCUUAGAAGAGCUCUUUCUCUUCCUCCCUCGACUUUUCCCGAUUGCCAAAACCGGAGUAGAGUUUUGAGUAGGAGUGAUAGCAACCGACUUCCCCUUAAGACCUGAUUCUGCGGUCUUGAGAAGUCCCUGAAGUUUGCUGAGGGUGACUUCUUCCUUGUUCAUGUGAUAUGUCAUGCGGAAUUGAUCAUAGCACGAUGGUAAGGAAUGCAAAAUAAUAUCUAUUGCAAGAUCCUCCGGGAAGUUCACAUUAAGCUUCAGCAAACGAUCCACAUACCUUUGCAUUUUCUGCAUGUGGCUCGUGACGGAUUCCCCGUCCUUCAUCAUGGUUGUUAUCAUGGAGCAGAUGAUUUCAUACCUCUCUUGUCUUGCACUUUGAUGGUAUCUUUCCAUCAAAUCUUGGUGCAUUUCAUAAGGGUAGAAAUCCUCAUAAGACUUUUGGAGUUCCGCUGUCAUCGUGGCCAUCAUGAUGCAAGCCACUUUCGUAGCAUCCCUUUCAUGUGCCCGAAAUUCAGCGAUCUCCUGAGGAGUUGCAGUGGACUCAUCAAUCUCCUUAAGCUCCUUGUCAAGGACAUAUUCUUUGUCCUCGUAGCGGGUAAUCAUCCUGAUGUUUCUGAUCCACUCAUUGAAGUUGGAUCCAUCAAAGGUGACUUUCCCACACAAGUUCAUAAGGGUAAAGGAGCCAUUAGGAUUAGAGCCAGAAGCAUUGUUGAAAGACAUCUGAAGGAAAGAGGACAAGAUUAGUUUAGAUAUAAGAGAGUCCUUAAUAAAACACCCAAAUGUAAUAUUAAGGCUAGGAUCCAAUCACAAUAUAAUAUAACUUAGAAGAGGUAUGCCGUAAUCUAAGCUAUAUCAUAUUUGAAAGGUAGGUGAAUGACGAUUCACCAAUUUCCACCACGAAAACCGCAAUAUUUUAGUAUUAGGUUUUUGAAUGGUUCUUAGAAAUUCCUAGAUUCUUUGAGAUUCAAUGAACUUUUCAAAGGCAUGUUUCAAUCUCGAGUGUGCCCUCCAAGUUUUGUGACUGGGAUACCGAGGAUCACAAAACGAGGUGUGAAGUAACCAUGCAAAUCACUUGGUACCCUUAAAGUUUAUCACUCAAUCGAUGUGCCGGUUAACCACACACGCUCCAUCGAUACUAUAAUAAACCCUAAGUCACCCUUUACCUACCUUGUUAAGUCCAAGUUAGUGUGCCGGUUAACCACACACGCUCCACCAACGACUUAAUCAAAGUGUAAAGUGUAAUUUCAUGGAAUAGCACCUUAUUCACAUUUUUCCUAAAGUAACUAAGAUUGGGAAUUUAAUAAAACAUUUAGUUACUUUAUAAUAUUCAUCAUACUUUGAAUGAGAAUUAAUAAGUCCUUGUCUUACCCGUUCGGCUAACGACCCUCCACCGAUCAAGCAAGCGGUGGGUGAGAGUGGACACCCAUUAAGUCACCAUUUUAUAGGCAACAACCUUAUACCCACCUUAUAGACCGGCUUCGUGAAUGAGGCGUACUAGCGGUAAGACGACUUUGUUCUUAUACAUAUAUAUAUAAUUAUUAAAUCAUAAUAAUAUAAGUAUAAGGGUUGAAUUUUAACUUUUAAAAUUCUAGGGGUUGGAACUAAAGUUUUAACUUAACUUUACUUGUUCCAAAACUUGAGGGCAAGUUUUGUAAACUUUCAAAACUUUUCAUUUCUUGUAACUUAUGAGUUUAAUAGAGUAAUAAAAUGAGGACUUUUCAUUUUUCCUAACUCUUGUGUUCUUUUAAUGGUUUUUAAUCCAAGAGACUUUUGGUUUUCCAUAACUUGAGGACAAGUUAUGGACUCCAUUAAAACACAUUAUGAUCAUGAAUUAAUCUACCACAUAGGUUACAAAUAAUUCCUAUGAUCAUCUAAACAUCAUAAGAACAAGAAUAUGAAUAUGAACACUUUCAAGAAUCAAAAUCACAUUUAAUCUUUGUAAUUUUGAUAACUAGUUGUUGUAAAUGAGUUAGAAAAGACAUUACACCUUCUAAAAUAAGUUUUCAAGUACCAAAACAUUUUAGGGUAAUGAUUCUAAUCCAUUUCCAGCAACUCAAGUCGAAAUUCUGCACUCUGUCGACCCUACUCGCCGAGUGCAUAAACCUACUCGCCGAGUAGGUUGAAGAUACACAUGAACUCGACGAGUCCUCCCCAUGGACUCGCCGAGUCCAUCAGUCAGACAGCAAGAUUUUCGACUUUCUUCAACUUUUAAGCACAAAUAACAAACAAACAAGCCUAGGCUCUGAUACCACUGAUGGGUUUUGAGCAUUCUAACACUUCCUAAGUGUACAUGCAACCCUAAUAACCUUGGAUCUAUGUUUGUCUAAUUAUCAUGCAAAGUUGAAUUCCAAGGUUAUAUUCCUAUCUAGCAUACAUGGGGAACAAUUUUAACUUGAAUCAUAGAUAGAAUAACUUACCUUGUUGUUGCUUGUGUUCCUUGAAACCUUGUGAGCCUAGCACCCCAAGUGUGAUGCCUCAAAUGCUUCACACAACACCAAAUGCUCUUGGAAAGACUCUUGAGAUAACACACACUUCUCAAAAUCGGCCAAGCCCUCUAGUUUCUUUGUGUAGCCGAUUUUGGUGGAGAAUAUGAUUCUUAUAUAGUGUUGACACAUCUAGGGUUACACCAUGUAAACCCUAAUGUGUCAUGACUCUUCAUUUCCAUGACCCAUGGGUUUGUAACUCCCAUGGAGCAUCCAUGGAGCAUCCUAUGGGUAGAACCCAACUUGAUAAUCCAUGGAGCCUCUUAGCCCACUAUACAAGAUAUGGAUGAUUUACAUAAUCAACCCAUAUAUUUAAUUAGUUAUCCUUUGAUCACUUAAUUAAUUCCAAAUUAAUUCUUUGUUCAACUAAUCAAAUAAUAUUAUUAAUAUAUUAGAACUUAUAAUAUAUUAAUAAUCUCCAAGUGUUAUUUCUCUCAUUUAGUUUAUCCAAUUGCAUGGUGCCAUGCAACCCAAAUGGACCAUGCCGGGUCGGGUCAAGUACUUACCAGAAAUAGUUAUGGACUUAGACACCUUAUCCAACAGUCUCCCACUUGGAUAAGUCUAAUAACUAUAACUGCAGUACUUCAGGAACCGAUCGGCAAUCGUAGCUCUUUCAAGGUCUCUCGGAACUGAGAAGAUGUUGAUACGCCAUUUAAGAUAAGUGAUCAUAUAAUCCUCUGUUCUAGAUAUCAGCCGGACAAAUACAUGGAACAAUGUCUUACUUAUUGUCCAGCAGUUUGUUUCCCGAUUUCCGAUUUGUUUGACAAAGAACUUAAUUGAACACAUCAACUUAGUUCUGACCGGGCCCGGUACAUAGGUCAAAACAAAAUCAUCGAGGGGCCCAGAUAUCAGCUUCUAAUCCAAGAAGGAACAGAUAAACUUCGACUCAUAUGUUUGUUCUAGCACUCAUUGAAUUAUACACAAAAGCACGUUUUAUAACAUCGAGUUACCAAUGUGUUUUCGUACAAUCAAUGCAUAACCAACUCAUAAGUAACAAAUCAUAUCUCUAGGUUUGAAGACUUAUAUGAUAUUACCGUCUCACGAUCACUCGAGAUUAAAUUCCAUGAAGUGAUUCCAGUGAGCGUGGGUUGAGUCCAAUGCUCAGAACUUAUGAGCACUCAUGAUUGUUGUAGCCAUGUCCAACACCUUAGACCUCUGCAACCAAUCAUGACAGUCAUGAUUCAUACCUACUUCCGACAUAUGACCGACUGUGGAGGUUCGAAUAAUAUGAUAUACCAAACAUAAUUAUUCUGGAAGUCAAAACAUGCAAAAGAAAUAUAGUAAACGAUUGACAAGAGAUAGCAACACUUUACUCAUAAAUAAAACACCUUUUAUUCAUCAUCUAAUUUCAAUUACACUUUACAAAUUUCGAGGUUAUCUAAUUACUAAAUCUAAUAUCAUCCUUCAGCGCUAUGCUCCGAGCAUGCUGGAGAUGCUUAACCUGAGUCAGUCCCUUCGUGAGGAGAUCUGCUGGAUUCUCAUCCGAUGAUACCCUCUUUUCCACGAGGAGUCCUUCUUCUAUUCGAUGUCUGAUAAAAUGGUAUUUUCUGUCGAUGUUUCGGAUCUCCCAUGAUCCCUUGGUUCCUUGGCUAAGGCAACCACACUUUCAUUAUCAUAGAAAAUUUCCAUUGGUUCUUUAAUAACUGGUACAACUCCAAGGUCUCCAAUGAAGUUCUUCAGCCAUAUCGCCUCCUUUGCUGACUCGCUUGCUGCAAUAUACUUUGAUUCGCAAGUUGAAUCAGGCACUGUCUCUUGCUUGGAAUUCUUCCAAGAAAUUGCUCCUCCGUUUAGAGUAAAGAUCCAGCCUGACUGAGAGCGGAAAUUAUCCCUAUCAGUCUGAAAGCUAGCAUCACUAUACCCUACAACUCUCAAGUCAUCACUCCCACCGAGGGUAACGACCCAGUCCUUAGUCCUCCGUAGGUACUUGAGGAUAUUAUUUACUGCAGUCCAGUGUGCCUUGUCAGGGUUCCCCUGAUACCUGCUAACCAUGCUCAAGGCAAAGGCUACAUCAGGUCGAGUACACGUCAUAGCAUACAUGAUCGAUCCUAUAGCCGAAGCAUAAGGUAUUCGACUCAUUUAUGCUAUCUCUGCCUCAGUACUAGGGCAUUGUGUCUUACUCAAUAUGGCGUUACUCUGGAUGGGUAACUCUCUUUUCUUGGAGUCCUACAUGCUGAAUCUCUUCAGCACCUUAUCCAAGUAGGUACUCUGACUAAGUCCAAUUAGUCUUUUACUUCGGUUUCUCAAGAUCCUUAUCCCUAGAAUAUAGGCAGCUUCUCCUAGGUCCUUCAUAGAGAAACACUUCCCAAUCCAGGACUUAACUUCCUGCAGAGUUGGGAUGUCAUUUCCUAUGAGUAGUAUGUCAUCCACAUACAAUACCAAAAAGCUAACUAUACUCCCACUAGCCUUGACAUAUACACAAGAUUCAUCUUCACUCCUAGAAAAGCCAAAUUCCUUGACUUUCUCAUCAAAGCAAAGAUUCCAUCUGCGAGGUGCUUGCUUUAACCCAUAAAUGGAUUUCUCAAGCUUACACACUCUAUUAGGGUACUCGUUACUGACAAAACCUUCUGGCUGACUCAUGUAAACAUCUUCAGUCAACUUUCCAUUAAGGAAAGCGGUUUUGACAUCCAUUUGCCAAAUUUCAUAGUCAUGAAAUGCAGCUAUGGCUAACAGAACCCUAAUAGACUUAAUCUUGGCUACUGGAGAAAAGGUCUCAUCAUAGUCCACUCCAGGAAUUUGAGAGAAGCCCUUUGCAACCAGUCUAGCCUUAUAAGUGUGUACUUUACCAUCCAUGUCGGUCUUCUUCUUGAAGACCCAUUUGCACCCUACAGUCUUUCGACCUGGUACAUUCUCAACCAAGUUCCAAACUUGAUUGUCAUACAUGGAUUGUAUCUCGCUAUCCAUAGCCUCUUUCCAUUUAGCAGACUCGGGGCCUGCCAUGGCUUCCUCGUAGCUGUUAGGGUCAUCUUGACUUACUAGUGUCUCAUCACUAAUAAGUGUCUCACCUUCUGCAGUAAUAUGGAAUCCAUAGUAAUGCUCAGGUGCACUCCUAACUCUCGUGGAACGUCUCAGAGGUACAGAUUUGUCAAUUGGCUCAACAGGAGUUUCCUCCUCAAGUUGAGGGCUAGAGUUUGAAGUUCCUUCACCGCUUGAUUCUUGAAUUUCUUCAAGAUCAAUUUGCCUCCCACUGUCUCCUUGGCUUAUAAACUCUCUUUCUCGAAAGACUCCUCUUCUUGCUACAAAGACCACAUUGUCACUAGGUCUGUAGAAGAGGUAAC
RNAcentral lists this long non-coding RNA (8056 nucleotides) under Lactuca sativa (garden lettuce). RNAcentral's name for it is "long non-coding RNA (LSAT_LNC008576)". The record is from RNAcentral. Lineage: Eukaryota; Viridiplantae; Streptophyta; Magnoliopsida; Asterales; Asteraceae.